This 529-nucleotide ribosomal RNA is filed under the name uncultured fungus. RNAcentral describes it as "eukaryotic LSU rRNA". It matches the Rfam family "Eukaryotic large subunit ribosomal RNA", at positions 89 to 616 of the family's 3401-position model. Lineage: Eukaryota; Fungi. The record is from RNAcentral.
GCGAGUGAAGCGGGCAAAGCUCAACCUGAAAAUCGGAUAUCCAAGCGGGUGUUCGGAUUGUGGGCUAGAGACGCGUGAUCAGUGUGUGACCUAGGUAUAAAUCUUUUGAAACAAGGUAUCAUAGAGGGUGAGAAUCCCGUCUUUGACCUAGAGUUUUCGCCACGUACGAUCCGUGUUCAAAGAGUCGAGUUGUUUGGGAUUGCAGCUCUAAAUGGGUGGUAAAUUUCAUCUAAAGCUAAAUAUUGGCGAGAGACCGAUAGCGAACAAGUACCGUGAGGGAAAGAUGAAAAGAACUUUGAAAAGAGAGUUAAACAGUACGUGAAAUUGUCAAAAGGGAAACGUUUGAAACCAGUAUUGCUGGCAAGAAUUCAGCUCUAGUUUACUAUAGUGUAUUUUCUUGUUGGCGAGUCAACAUCAGUUUGACUUGGAGCAAAAAGCCAUGGAAAGGUAGCCUUCGGGUGUUAUAGUCCAUGGUCAUACUCUGGGUUAGACUGAGGACUGCAGAGUUUUUGGCUUCGGCACACCAACU